AGAAAUUAAGAAACUGUUUCUUAACUUUUAACUAAAAAACUAAGAAUCGGUUCUUAAAAUCCUUAUUUAAGAACCGGUUCUUAGCUUUUUUAGUUAAAAGUUAAGAAAUAGUUUCUUAACUUCC
RNAcentral lists this microRNA precursor (124 nucleotides) under Brassica napus (rape). RNAcentral describes it as "MIR9563 microRNA precursor family". It matches the Rfam family "MIR9563 microRNA precursor family". Lineage: Eukaryota; Viridiplantae; Streptophyta; Magnoliopsida; Brassicales; Brassicaceae. The record is from Rfam by way of RNAcentral.